Molecule: ribosomal RNA, 207 nt
Filed under: uncultured bacterium
Lineage: Bacteria
Description: partial 16S ribosomal RNA
Rfam family: Bacterial small subunit ribosomal RNA
Source: RNAcentral
UCCGUAGGCGGGUUUAUAAGUCAGUGGUGAAAGUUUGCGGCUUAACCGUAAAAUUGCCAUUGAUACUGUAGAUCUUGAAUUAGUGUGAAGUGGUUAGAAUGUGUAGUGUAGCGGUGAAAUGCAUAGAUAUUACACAGAAUACCAAUUGCGAAGGCAGAUCACUAACACUAUAUUGACGCUGAGGGACGAAAGCGUGGGGAGCGAACA